GUUCACUGGUGUGGCCCCCGGUCUUCAAAACCGGUGUGGGGUAGCCUUGCGCGUCCCGGGCGGGUUCGAUUCCCGUACGCUUCC
Molecule: transfer RNA, 84 nt
Filed under: marine eukaryotic metagenome
Description: Selenocysteine transfer RNA
Rfam family: Selenocysteine transfer RNA
Source: RNAcentral